RNAcentral lists this ribosomal RNA (529 nucleotides) under uncultured bacterium. RNAcentral's name for it is "bacterial SSU rRNA". It matches the Rfam family "Bacterial small subunit ribosomal RNA", at positions 524 to 1050 of the family's 1533-position model. The record is from RNAcentral.
AACGUAGGAGACGAGCGUUAUCCGGAUUUACUGGGCGUAAAGAGCGUGUAGGAGGCAAUACAAGUUGGAUGUAAAAGCUCUCGGCUAAACUGAGAGAGGACGUUCAAGACUGUAGAGCUAGAGGAAGGCAGAGGUAGAUGGAACUCCGGGAGUAGUGGUGAAAUGCGUAGAUAUCCGGAAGAACACCAGAGGCGAAAGCGAUCUACUGGGCCUUAACAGACACUGAGACGCGAAAGCCAGGGUAGCAAACGGGAUUAGAGACCCCGGUAGUCCUGGCCGUAAACGAUGUAGACUAGGCGCUUGUCGGGCAAAACCGGUGAGUGUCGAAGCGAACGCGAUAAGUCUACCGCCUGGGGAGUACGGUCGCAAGAUUAAAACUCAAAGGAAUUGACGGGGGCCCGCACAAGCAGCGGAGCGUGUGGUUUAAUUCGAUGAUACACGAAGAACCUUACCAGGGUUUGACAUACAGGUGGUAGAGAAGCGAAAGUGGAACGACCCUUCGGGGAGCCUGAACAGGUGCUGCAUGGCU